Xenia sp. Carnegie-2017 is the source of this 203-nucleotide long non-coding RNA. RefSeq lists it as uncharacterized. The record is from RefSeq and is a predicted model, not a curated record. The transcript has 3 exons. Lineage: Eukaryota; Metazoa; Cnidaria; Anthozoa; Malacalcyonacea; Xeniidae.
AUUGAUACUAGAAUGCAUAAAAAGAUUUUCAAUGUCUACAAAAUGUGGUUAUAAUAAAGUAAUGAUAAUCUUACAUAAAAUCAUGAAUGUGUAAAAGGAAGAGAAACGACAAUUUAGGCUGACCAAGUGUGUGGGAGUAAUUAGGCUCAAUCUAGAUUCACAAUUUUCUUAUAAGACAAGUUCCCCCAUCUACUCUGUGUUGG